Molecule: long non-coding RNA, 297 nt
Filed under: Salvia miltiorrhiza (redroot sage)
Lineage: Eukaryota; Viridiplantae; Streptophyta; Magnoliopsida; Lamiales; Lamiaceae
Description: long non-coding RNA (SMIL_LNC003594)
Source: RNAcentral
GGACGGCUGCAUGUGAGAGAGAAGGAGGUGGGCGGCGUUAGAAAGAGAGGGAGAGAUGGCCGAGAAGUUUGAGAGAGAAAGAGAGAAAGUGUUUUUCCUUUUUUUUAAGUGAUUAUAGUUUAAUUAUGGCUCCUUAUAAUCUGUGUUGGGCUCUCAUUUUUUUUAAAUCAUUUGGGCCUUCUUUUUAAACUAAUGGGCCGAUUUAUUUUCUUUAAAGCUGUUAGACAGAUGGGCCUUUAUUUGUUAUAUGGGACAUUUUAAUAGACAAGCCUAUUGAUUAUAUUUUCUUGGGCUCUA